CUACGAUCGAAUCCGAUCCCCGCCCCCCAUGGCCGCCGCCUCCGCGUCGCCGCACCCGGCGGCAGCCGCCGACCUGCCCCCGCCCCCGCCGCCGCUCCACACCGCCGCGCCCCGCCCGCGCCGCCGCGCGCGGGAGGUCAGCUCCAGAUACCUCUCCACCCCCACCCCCGCCGCCCUCUCCUCCUCCGCCUCGUCCUCCCCGCGCCUCUCCACCUCCUCGUCGCGCGCAUCCUCGCCCACUCCGUCGCCGCGCGCCCACACGCGCGUCGCCACGCCCUUCGCCAACGAGAACCAGCCCCCGCUCGUCCCGCCCUCCACCCGCAGGCGAGCCGUGCAGAAGCUGUUCGGCGAAAUCGGCGCCAACCCGCGGGCCUCCGUCUCCUCCUCCGCCGCCGGCGCCCCGCCCCCCAGGCUCCUGCCCCGCGCGUCCAGCGGGCCGGCCCCGUCCACGGGGCGCAGGGGCUACCCACUCCCCCCCACGCCCGCGCGCGCCUCAUCCUGCCCCUCCUCCGCGGACGACGCCGCGUCCUGCAGCUCCACGGACACCUCCUCCACCCUGACCGACUGCUCCGAGCCUGAUGGGAUCCUGGUGCCCGCCGCGCCCUGCGAGAGCCCGCCGCUGCUCGGCCCGGCGUCCUGCCGCGGCGGGCGCCUGUCGUCGGAGCUCCGGUCGUCGGUUCCUGAGUCGGGCGGGUCCACGCGCGGGGCGGCCAUCCCGCUGUGCCACCGAUCGCUUAAUUCGGCUCUCUCGAGCUGCCCGGCUCCGGCGGCGAAGGUGAUGGCGGCGCCAAGGCCACCGCAUCCACAUGGGACGAAACUAGCGGAGAUGAAGAAGGCGGCGGUCAUUGGGGGGAGAAAGGUUGCCGGGAAGCAGGAGGACGUGCACCAGCUGCGGCUGCUGGACAACCGCUACGUUCAGUACAGGUUUCUGAACGCCCGGGGGGCAGAGGCGGCCAGGGCCAAGGCUGCUGCGGCGGAGAACUCCCUGUUCGGACUGGCUGAGAGAAUUGCUGGGCUACGAGAAUCAGUCGCUGAUAAGAGGGCAGAGGCUGAGAAGAUCAAGAGGGAUCAGAGAUUGUGCUCAAUUUUUGGUGGUCAGGUGCCGUAUUUGGAUCGAUGGAGUGAUGUUGAGGAGGAUUAUUCCAGCUGCUUGACAGGGGCAACAUCUGCGCUGCAUAACGCCUCACUAAGGCUGCCUAUAAUUGGGGGUGUUAGGGCAAACUAUGAGGAAAUCUCGGAAGUUCUUAACUCUGCUGCGCAACUACUGGAGCCGGCGUCGCCUCUUGUUCGAAAUUUAUUACCAAAGGUUGAAGAAGUUGAUGGUGUGGCCUCCAAACUUGCACAAAUAAUCACUAGUGAAAGGGACUUGAUAGAAGAGUGUGGGAAUCUACUAAAUCAAGCACACCAUAUGCAGAUGAGGGAGUACAGCUUGAGAAGCCAGCUGCUGCAGUUGAGAAGUUGAAGUGAAAGCGGAGGAAGCGCAGAAAAUGAACACGACACCAAGUCAUAUCUUCCGACCAGUGGAGCUAAUUGUGCUCACCACUGGAAACAUCUUCCAGUAGGAGGGAGAGGUGGCCUGAUGAUCAUACAAAGUAAAAGGCAGAAGUAUCCUUCUGCUCUUUUUUUUGUUGGCGGGAAGAAGUCCUUCUGCUGAUCAAGAAUUCCUGAUUCUUUGUGAUUCUCAUUGAUGGCUUGGUUGAAGAACGGUGCUCUCUUUUUUGGAUAGUUUGGCAUGCACACGUGCAGUGUUUUUUGCCUCUUUAAAUAUCUUUUGGAUCUUCCCAGUCAAGUCGCUGGGCAGGGCACCCAUCAGUGGAUGUCAAAAGAACACUUGCAAGAAGUAUCCAAACACUUUGGUGGUGUCUGUUGCCUUCGACCGAGGUGUUCUCCUUUGUGAUGUAGAAGUAUGGGCAGGGCACCCAUCAGUGGAUGUCAAAAGAACACUUGCAAGAAGUAUCCAAACACUUUGGUGGUGUCUGUUGCCUUCGACCGAGGUGUUCUCCUUUGUGAUGUUGGGUCAACUGUGUGUAUGUGGUUUUGUUUGUA
Triticum aestivum (bread wheat) is the source of this 2046-nucleotide RNA transcript. It is a transcript of the gene named protein ENDOSPERM DEFECTIVE 1, with no coding region annotated. The transcript has 7 exons. Lineage: Eukaryota; Viridiplantae; Streptophyta; Magnoliopsida; Poales; Poaceae. The record is from RefSeq and is a predicted model, not a curated record.